Molecule: transfer RNA, 71 nt
Filed under: Marmota monax (woodchuck)
Lineage: Eukaryota; Metazoa; Chordata; Mammalia; Rodentia; Sciuridae
Description: tRNA.Ala
Rfam family: tRNA
About the family: Transfer RNA (tRNA) molecules are approximately 80 nucleotides in length. Their secondary structure includes four short double-helical elements and three loops (D, anti-codon, and T loops).
Source: RNAcentral
GGGGAUGUGGCUCAAGCGCUAGGGCGCUCGCCUGGCAUGCGUGCUGCCUGGGUUCGAUCCUCAGCACCACA